Non-coding RNA from Megalopta genalis, 5000 nucleotides. The record is from RefSeq and is a predicted model, not a curated record. Lineage: Eukaryota; Metazoa; Arthropoda; Insecta; Hymenoptera; Halictidae.
ACAUACUACACACUACAUGCCGAUCUCAAGACUACAAAACAGUUUGCUGUGGCAUAAAUCACACUGCGUAUAAUUCUAAACUUAUUCUACUUUCGUUCAGAAUGUAAAGAUUGUUAAGAAAUUGAAUAUUUGUAUGUGAUUAAUUGAUCUAUAAAAGUUAAUAAUUUCUGUAGACCUUUUUAAGCCGUGUGUGAAGUGUAAUCCUUACGUUUGAACAGUGACAGUGCAAAAUUCCAAAAAUUCUAACGGUCUAAUUCGAAACUUAGACAAGUUUAUGGGUGAUAAAAGAUUUCACAUGUUCUUGGUGCCAUUAUUUAUAAUACAAAACAUGUUAUAAAAGCUAUUUAGUGUGUUUGUAAACGGAGAAACGAAAUAAUGAAUUAUUCCCAUUUCCGUCUCUCGUCCUAUUAUUCAACUUUUCGUUUAUAUUAGACUGCUUAGUUCAGUGUUUCCAAAUUUAGUUUAAUGUUUUGAAGGUACAUUCUGCAAUGUUUAUAAACUUACCAAAAGUAUAUAUCAAAUAUUUUUAAAGUAUUAAAUACAAAGAUACGUAUCAAUUUUACCAUUUACUAUUUAUUUUACAUUUUACUAAAGGAAUCAAUGAACUUUUUAUAAUUACAAGUAAAAUGUAUAGUGUUCAAAAUUAAUUCUAUAAAAUUGAGGUUCAGAAGUUAUAACUAAAGUAUAAUGUGUAUAUGCCAUAACAAGAUCAAAAAAACUUCACACUAAUGGCGUUACUUCCGCCGGAUCCUAUAUACCUUUUCCGAAGUGAUAUGGGAAGUAUUCAUUCUAUUCUUUUUCAAAUAACUUCCCAUGUAGAACUACUUUAUGCAGGUACUGGUAAAGGAAAUGUUCAUGUCUGGAAUUUAGAAACAAAUCGACAGUUGUGUCAGUUUAGAUCAGGUCAAGAGUCAUGUUUAAGUUUACAAAGUUUGGAUGGAGAGAACUUGUUUGUACAACAUAAAUGUGGUUUAAUAAAUGCAUAUAUAAGAACCGAAUCCGACUGGAUUAAGUACAAAUCAAUUGAUAUAGAUUUUUAUCAUUAUUGCAGGUUUCAAACAUUUUCUCAAAAUGAGCUAUUUGUACCACUUAAGGAAUCUAAAGUUGGAAUAUUAUCUACAAAUACAUUUAGCAUGGAGUUAGAACUGAGUCCUCCAAACAUUGAACAGUUAGGAGAAGUGAUGGUAAUCAAACCAAUGAAACAUAAACAAUUGGUUUUAGUGGGUUAUGAAUGCGGCAAAUUACUUUUAUGGGACAUUAGACAAAACAAGAUUUUAAAUUACUUAGUAACUGAACCAUGUCCAAUGGCUUUGGAUUUUGAUAUUACUUUAAUGAAAGGUAUAAUUUCUGGACCUUCAGAUCAGUUACAGGUAUUUACUUUGUCAGAAAAUCAUAUAUUUUGUGAUAGAACAAAAAUUAAAUUGACAAAUCCUGGCACAUCUGUAAUCACUAUAAGGCCUGAUACUAAGAUUGUAGCAAUUGGAGGAUGGGACAGUCGAGUUCGAAUAUAUUCUUGGAAAAAUUUAAGACCAUUAGCUGUUCUGGACCAACAUAGAGAUACAGUACAGGACAUUGGAUACUCUUCAGAUAAAAACAAUGGACGCGCAAUUGACAAAAAAAUUGAAAAAUUGCAACAUCGAUGAUGACACCGCCGCCAUAGCCAAUGGCAAAAUAUUUUCGUGUGCGGUUGCGAUCACAGAUGCAUAUAAUGCAGGGAAGAUGGCUGGAAUUGGCUGUCAGAACGUAGAUGCGAUCGCAGUCGCUUACGCGACUGGAUUGAGGGCCGCUGCCACCGACUCAUCAAAAUCAUCUUUUCCCAGCGGUGUUCAAUAGCUUCGAUACACUGUUUAUAGCAAGAACCAUCGAGAACUCCUCAAAAUAGCCAUUAACAGCAGACUCCACCUCUUCAUUAUUGAAAAAUGUUUUACUACCGAGCCAUUUUUUCAACUCCUGGGAACGAUGGACCGAAUGGGAUGAUAAUAAUUACGCAGCGAGAACAAUAAUGAUAAAUAAUAUGACUAAGGCGCAAUUACUUAAAUACAGUCAUGGGCGGAUAAACUAUGGACAAUGAUCAAACUGGAUAUGGUCGCGGGAACUGAAGAAAUAAAAUCUAGAAUUCUUAACGAAAUAACAAAUUUGAAAAUGGAUAAGGACGAAACCGUUGAUGCAUUUGUAAACAGAGCAGAGGCGUUAAGAAACCAAUGCAAACAGCUCGGGAAGGAUAUUGAAGAGAGAGAAUUCGAAUUAAAAAUGUACAUAUUAAGAGGACUCCAUCCCGAAUUCAACCCAAAUGUACGGGUUUUAGAAAUGCAAAGAAAUGUAUCAAUAUUUGACAUAAGAUUUGCUCUAAAACAAGAGAUCCUGAGGAGAAAAGGAAACGCUCCAAAGAAGGGCCUAAGAGUAAUAUCUAUUAUUACAACUGCGGAGCAUAGGGACAUAUGGCUGCAGAGUGUAACCAAAAGAAACGUUGCUUUAAUUGCCAACUCUUCGACUACAUUGCAUUGGAGUGUCGCGAGCCGAGGAGGAAUCUAUUAUCUGCGAGAAGAGGACAGGGAGGAAAUUCCCAGGAAGGAAGCCGAGGAAGAUUCACGAGACAGCACCCUGGGAGAAAUGAAACAGCACUGAGGACUGAUAAUGAAGCCGUAAUGAGAGUAAAAGAAAUUUCGCAUAUGGACAAACUGUGUGAGGUAAGAGAGAUUCAAGUUAAAAAACAGAUUACUUUAGCGAUUUGAAAAUUAACUUGUACGCUAAUUUAUUAUGUCUUCCUCAUUUUAUUUGGAUUCGAAAAACGCAAUUCGUGUUGUACAACUUUCGAAUUUUAAUUUGAUUAAAUAAAAUACUUCAAUUGAAUACAUUUUUGAGAUGGGGUUGACAUGACAAUCGAAGUAUCAAUUGUUGCCUUCAUCCCUGCGUGCGCAAGGUGAUGUAAGGAGACGACUGCCUGUUUUCAAAAGGGUUUUUUAAUAGCAAUAUCGCAAUAUACAUCCGUUGUGAUUCUAAGUCGUUUUAGCUGUAACGAAAUGUCAAACGCUGUAAUUUAUGGUCAGUUUUCCUUUUGCAAAUUAUUUAAACUUUAUAGACGCUGAACCUGAUUCUAUUCUAGACAGUGCGUUUGUCACUUCGUUGUUUUUUCCGCUAAUGUGUCGAAUGUCAGUCGUACAUUGCACUCAAUGUCCAUUAAAAAAUCUUCUUUGUACGGUAAUAGAUAAUGGUCAUUAAUUGUACUGGUAUUUAAAGCACGGUAGUCUUUGCAGUAGGGUUAAUACAAGAAUAAAAAGUUCUCAGAAUGUUAAUUUCCAACUCAAACACUGCCCGAAGUUUUAGGGCGUUGUAAAGUAUUUAUGAGACGCUGAUCCAUUUGUGUCUCUUCUUCAUCAAAUCGAGGCUUCACCUACAUUUCUUCAUUUGAAAUCGUGUGAAGGGCUAAUGUCCGCUGGCCCUUUCAAAAUCGUAAAUGGCCCUGGUACAUCAAACUCGAAUUCCGCUUUUGCGACUUUUUACGUCCGUGGAUAAUCUGCACAGUUUGCAAAUGGUCAGAAAGAUCAGCUAAGUCAAAGUAGUAUCAAUAGAAUGGAUAAUAUCGUAUUUGAUCUUAUUCGAAGCCACUACGAUGUUCGACAAGUCUGCCAGCAGGUACUCAUAGGGACUUUCCUUCCAAUAUUAAACAGCGAUGUCGACUGGUCCAUUAAUUGACGGUUUGUCAGGUCUAUCAGCAGAUCGCACUUAAAAAGGAAAUCAGCUUCGAUACAUCUACGAUAAAUUUUUACUGGAAACCUCGUCGUGGACCGGGUUGAAGUAGAACGACUCUACAUCAUAGCUGCUGCUGAGGGAACCAUUUGCCACAAACAUUUCAUAUCUCGACUUCGUGGUUUGGCAUUUAUUGUGCGUGCGAGGAUACGUCCACAUGUUCAAGAAAGUGUUCACUAGAUAUAUUCCUCCAUCGUCUGUUGAUCGACGACGGAGAUCCAUAGGUCAACAUUGAUCGCCGUAUUAACUGGUGUGUAUCCUAGUUUCCUGAGUCAUUCUCUGAUCGCAUCGCUUCUUACAUCUAGUUCAGAUGUAAGGUAGGUGCGACCUAAAGUAGGUCUCGCACUCCAAAUUUGCAGUGAGACCCCACCUCUCAUGCUGUCGAGUUUCCUCUUCUCCGUGUGUUUGAGCGUCUUCAUAAAUAUCUGUUUGGGCGAUACCAUGUGCCAGAUUGCGAUAGUGCCGACACCUGCAAUUGGCAAUCUCUCUUGUUUUUUGUGGAGCAUCUCAAAAUCGUUUUGUCUUUAGAGGAGCUCGCGAUUUCAGUUUGAACAAUACUCAAGUGGAUUCUGUCGCCUAUUUAUGAUAGCUUGCGUCUGUUUUAGUUUCUGUCUCCUAUGUCUUCCUUUUCUUCGAUAGCCUCUCGAUACGUGGAUUUUGGGGCACUGAAGAUCAACGGUCCUACUCCUUUUUUGGCGUUCCAUAUUUCUUAUUUUCCGAUGUGUUCCUUGUUAAAAACGUCCGCACUUGUAGCAUGUAUAUUGACUAACUGCGCUGUAGAAUUUGGUUGUCUUGUUGAAGUUGUUUAGCGGGAUUUGUGCGGCUCGUGUUGAUGGAACCAGAACGAUGAAACACGAUAAAUGUAUACAUUGAUGCAGCUUAUCUUCGAAGUCGCCGGCGAAUCUUCUAACAUUUGCUUACAUUCAUGUUUUUCAGUUAGUCUCUUCUCUAUACCGUACAAGAAACAUAAAACACUAAACUGCGAUUAAGUCGAGGUCACCAAAUAAAGUCGCAAUAAAAUCACAGUGUCGUUUUUCUCCAUUUUUAUUUUUUAAACUACUUAAUGAGAACAGGUCUACCGCCACGUAUUAUUCGUAUAUAUAUACACGUUAUCUCUAAUAGUCGUUCUAGGGUUUCGCUAGUUGCUAGCCACAACAUUAUAAUUAUAUAUUCAUAUUUCAUUGGCUUUCUUCAAAUUUACUUUCAUGUUUAUUGAUCUUUUAUUACAAAAUAAAUAAGUCAAGUCAUGUACA